GAUGAACGCUGGCGGCGUGCCUAAUACAUGCAAGUCGAGCGAACGGACGAGAAGCUUGCUUCUCUGAUGUUAGCGGCGGACGGGUGAGUAACACGUGGAUAACCUACCUAUAAGACUGGGAUAACUUCGGGAAACCGGAGCUAAUACCGGAUAAUAUUUUGAACCGCAUGGUUCAAAAGUGAAAGACGGUCUUGCUGUCACUUAUAGCUGGAUCCGCGCUGCAUUAGCUAGUUGGUAAGGUAACGGCUUACCAAGGCAACGAUGCAUAGCCGACCUGAGAGGGUGAUCGGCCACACUGGAACUGAGACACGGUCCAGACUCCUACGGGAGGCAGCAGUAGGGAAUAUUCCGCAAUGGGCGAAAGCCUGACGGAGCAACGCCGCGUGAGUGAUGAAGGUCUUCGGAUCGUAAAACUCUGUUAUUAGGGAAGAACAGAUGUGUAAGUAACUGUGCACAUCUUGACGGUACCUAAUGAGAAAGCCACGGCUAACUACGUG
RNAcentral lists this ribosomal RNA (497 nucleotides) under uncultured bacterium. RNAcentral describes it as "partial 16S ribosomal RNA". It matches the Rfam family "Bacterial small subunit ribosomal RNA", at positions 28 to 507 of the family's 1533-position model. The record is from RNAcentral.